This 311-nucleotide small RNA is filed under the name Pan troglodytes (chimpanzee). RNAcentral's name for it is "retained intron". Lineage: Eukaryota; Metazoa; Chordata; Mammalia; Primates; Hominidae. The record is from RNAcentral.
UCUCUCAAGGCUGUGUGGUGUGGUGGCCGCAUAGUGGCACCCUGGUGUUGGCCCUUGGUUGGGGGAGUGUGUCUGCCACUCCCUGGUAUCCUGCCCAUGCCACCCUUUCUGAUCUCUGACCUCUCUCCUGCAGCAACUGACCAACCACAUCCGGGAGUCGCUGCCGGCCCUACGUAGCAAACUACAGAGCCAGCUGCUGUCCCUGGAGAAGGAGGUGGAGGAGUACAAGAACUUUCGGCCCGACGACCCCACCCGCAAAACCAAAGCCCUGCUGCAGUAUGUACCCCGGCACCCACCACCACCACCACCCU